GAUGAACGCUGGCGGCGUGCCUAAUACAUGCAAGUCGAGCGAACAGACGAGGAGCUUGCUCCUCUGACGUUAGCGGCGGACGGGUGAGUAACACGUGGAUAACCUACCUAUAAGACUGGGAUAACUUCGGGAAACCGGAGCUAAUACCGGAUAAUAUAUUGAACCGCAUGGUUCAAUAGUGAAAGACGGUUUUGCUGUCACUUAUAGAUGGCUCCGCGCCGCAUUAGCUAGUUGGUAAGGUAACGGCUUACCAAGGCGACGAUGCGUAGCCGACCUGAGAGGGUGAACGGCCACACUGGAACUGAGACACGGUCGAGACUCCUACGGGGGGCAGCAGUAGGGAAUCUUCCGCAAUGGGCGAAAGCCUGACGGAGCAACGCCGCGUGAGUGAUGAAGGUCUUCGGAUCGUAAAACUCUGUUAUUAGGGAAGAACAAAUGUGUAAGUAACUAUGCACGUCUUGACGGUACCUAAUCAGAAAGCCACGGCUAACUACGUG
This 497-nucleotide ribosomal RNA is filed under the name uncultured bacterium. RNAcentral's name for it is "partial 16S ribosomal RNA". It matches the Rfam family "Bacterial small subunit ribosomal RNA", at positions 28 to 507 of the family's 1533-position model. The record is from RNAcentral.